AUUGAACGCUGGCGGCAGGCCUAACACAUGCAAGUCGAGCGAGCGGCGGACGGGUGAGUAAUGUCUGGGAAACUGCCUGAUGGAGGGGGAUAACUACUGGAAACGGUAGCUAAUACCGCAUACCAUCAGAUGUGCCCAGAUGGGAUUAGCUAGUAGGUGGGGUAAUGGCUCACCUAGGCGACGAUCCCUAGCUGGUCUGAGAGGAUGACCAGCCACAUGGGAACUGAGCACCGGCCCAGACCCCAACGGGAGGAAGCGUUGGGGAAGAUUGCACAAGGGGCGCAAGCCGGAGGCAGCCAGGCCGCGUGGGUGAAGAAGGCCUCCGGGUUGUAAAGCCCUUUCAGCGGGGAGGCGUUACCCGAAGAAGAAGCACCGGCUAACUCCGUGCCAGCAGCCGCGGUAAUAC
Molecule: ribosomal RNA, 406 nt
Filed under: uncultured bacterium
Lineage: Bacteria
Description: partial 16S ribosomal RNA
Rfam family: Bacterial small subunit ribosomal RNA
Source: RNAcentral